AGAACGAACGCUGGCGGCAUGCCUAACACAUGCAAGUCGAACGAGACCUUCGGGUCUAGUGGCGCACGGGUGCGUAACGCGUGGGAACCUGCCUUUAGGUUCGGAAUAACUCCCCGAAAGGGGUGCUAAUACCGAAUAAUGUCUUCGGACCAAAGAUUUAUCGCCUUUAGAUGGGCCCGCGUUGGAUUAGCUAGUUGGUGGGGUAAAUGCCUACCAAGGCGACGAUCCGUAGCUGGUCUUAGAGGAUGAUCAGCCACACUGGGACUGAGACACGGCCCAGACUCCUACGGGAGGCAGCAGUGGGGAAUAUUGGACAAUGGGCGAAAGCCUGAUCCAGCAAUGCCGCGUGAGUGAUGAAGGCCUUAGGGUGUAAAGCUCUUUACCAGGAUGAUAAUGACAGUACCUGAGAAUAAGCUCCGGCUAACUCCGUGCCAGCAGCCGC
This 442-nucleotide ribosomal RNA is filed under the name uncultured soil bacterium. RNAcentral's name for it is "bacterial SSU rRNA". It matches the Rfam family "Bacterial small subunit ribosomal RNA", at positions 26 to 518 of the family's 1533-position model. The record is from RNAcentral.